Toxorhynchites rutilus septentrionalis is the source of this 519-nucleotide long non-coding RNA. RefSeq lists it as uncharacterized. NCBI's taxonomy places the organism in Eukaryota, Metazoa, Arthropoda, Insecta, Diptera, Culicidae. The record is from RefSeq and is a predicted model, not a curated record. The transcript is spliced from 3 exons.
CUUUGGGAAACAUUUCAGAAACGCUUAAAUAUAUGCAAUUUUCAACAAAUGUUCGUUUGUUUUGAUCAGUAUUUGUUUUACGGUGCUGCCAGAAUAGUCUAUACAAGUGCAUAUUUCAGUGGCUGAAAAUGAGUGGACAGACAAAUCACCACUAGUACGACUCGUUGAACCAAUGAAAGCGAAUGUAAACAUUGCUCGAGUUUUUUUGGAGGCAGUUCAAAUAGAAUCCCUGUUAAGGAAAAAUGGGAGGAAUUCAGUGAGGAGAUUGAUGCACUGAGACCAUCAAUGUGUCUUGGUUCAGAAUGGCAGAAAAUUUAGAUUGACAUGAGGUGAAAGGUAAAGAAAACACUAGCACAUAACAUGCGAAAAUUUAUGGCCACAGGUGGUGGCCUAAUACAAUUAAGCUAAUGACGCCGCUACAACGAGAAAUCGACGCUAAAGGAAAAUUACAUGCAAAAAAAAUGUUUUGCUAAAAAAAAGUGGAAUUCAUGCGUGACUUCUUACGGAAUUCAUUUCAUU